AUGUUUCUUUCCAAAAAAGCAUCAGAAGAAGCACAAUGGCACAAGCUAAAGAGGCAACCCAGUGAGAAGGAAAUGAGCCAUCCAGCUGACGGUGAUGCGUGGCAAGAUUUUGGUAAAAAAUAUCCAAAAUUUGCAGAAGAUGCUAGAAACAUGAGGCUUGGAAUCGCCACUGAUGGGUUCAAUCCUUUUGGAAACUUAAACACAAACUAUAGUAUGUGGCCUGUAUUUGUUGUGCCAUACAACCUUCCACCUUGGGCAUGCAUGGAUCAGUCAAAUUUCAUGAUGGCUCUGUUAAUUCCAGGUCCUAAAUCACCUGGCAAGCACUUUGAUGUCUUCCUACAGCCACUUGUAGAAGAUUUACUUGAGCUUUGGAAGGGUGUGCGUACAUAUGAUGCUUGUGAAGGAAAAAUGUUUGAUCUUCAUGCUCCAGUUCUAUGGUGCAUUCACGAUUACCCAGCUCUGAGCACUCUUUUGAGGGCGUACCACAAGAGGCUAUGCUGCAUGUAUUCAUUGUGA
Molecule: ribosomal RNA, 516 nt
Filed under: Triticum aestivum (bread wheat)
Lineage: Eukaryota; Viridiplantae; Streptophyta; Magnoliopsida; Poales; Poaceae
Description: partial small subunit ribosomal RNA
Source: RNAcentral